AGGAUGUCGGUUUCAAUUAAACGCUGACCGCGUGAUUUGCCUUCUGCCUGACU
Molecule: small nucleolar RNA, 53 nt
Filed under: Euglena gracilis
Lineage: Eukaryota; Euglenozoa; Euglenophyceae; Euglenales; Euglenaceae
Description: Eg-m18.1
Source: RNAcentral